GUGCCAGCAGCCGCGGUAAUACGUAGGGUGCGAGCGUUGUCCGGAAUUACUGGGCGUAAAGAGUUCGUAGGCGGUUUGUCGCGUCGUUCGUGAAAACUUGGGGCUUAACUCCAAGCGUGCGGGCGAUACGGGCAGACUUGAGUACUACAGGGGAGACUGGAAUUCCUGGUGUAGCGGUGAAAUGCGCAGAUAUCAGGAGGAACACCGGUGGCGAAGGCGGGUCUCUGGGUAGUAACUGACGCUGAGGAACGAAAGCGUGGGUAGCGAACAGGAUUAGAUACCCUCGUAGUCC
RNAcentral lists this ribosomal RNA (292 nucleotides) under uncultured bacterium. RNAcentral describes it as "partial 16S ribosomal RNA". It matches the Rfam family "Bacterial small subunit ribosomal RNA", at positions 505 to 796 of the family's 1533-position model. The record is from RNAcentral.